This 333-nucleotide ribosomal RNA is filed under the name Triticum aestivum (bread wheat). RNAcentral's name for it is "partial small subunit ribosomal RNA". The record is from RNAcentral. Lineage: Eukaryota; Viridiplantae; Streptophyta; Magnoliopsida; Poales; Poaceae.
AUGAAGGACUAUCUGCCAAAUGCAGAGCACAGAAUGUGUGCUAGGCAUAUGUAUGCCAACUGGACAAAGAAGCAUAGGGCACAUGAAUGGCAGAAGAAGUUCUGGGUAGUUGCCAAAGCAACAAACAAGCAAGACUUCAACUACUACAAAGCAAAGCUAGCCCAAGAAACACCAGAUGGUGCAAAAGAUAUGAUGAGAACAGAGCCAGUACACUGGGAAAGGGCAUUUUUUCCAGUGGGUUCCAACUGUGAAUCAUUUGACAAUGUUCUUUGUGAAUCUGUUAAUCAUGCAAUUGUUGAAGCAAGGUUUUAUCCAAUAAUUUCAAUGCAAUAA